CCUACGGGAGGCAGCAGUGGGGAAUAUUGCACAAUGGGGGAAACCCUGAUGCAGCGACGCCGCGUGAGUGAAGCAGUAUUUCGGUAUGUAAAGCUCUAUCAGCAGGGAAGAAAAUGACGGUACCUGAUUCAGAAGCCCCGGCUAACUACGUGCCAGCAGCCGCGGUAAUACGUAGGGGGCAAGCGUUAUCCGGAUUUACUGGGUGUAAAGGGAGCGUAGACGGCAGCACAAGUCUGGAGUGAAAUGCCGGGGCUUAACCCCGGAACUGCUUUGGAAACUGUGCAGCUAGAGUGCAGGAGAGGUAAGGGGAAUUCCUGGUGUAGCGGUGAAAUGCGUAGAUAUUAGGAGGAACACCAGUGGCGAAGGCGGCUUACUGGACUGUAACUGACGUUGAGGCUCGAAAGCGUGGGGAGCAAACAGGAUUAGAUACCCCAGUAGUC
Molecule: ribosomal RNA, 440 nt
Filed under: uncultured bacterium
Lineage: Bacteria
Description: partial 16S ribosomal RNA
Rfam family: Bacterial small subunit ribosomal RNA
Source: RNAcentral